UACAGAGGUGCCGAGCGUUGGGCGGAAUCACUGGGCUUAAAGCGUGUGUAGGCGGACUUCUAAGUACCUUGUGAAAUCCCACGGCUCACCCGUGGAACUGCUGGGUAUACUGGUCGUCUUGAGCCACCUAGGGGCGAGCGGAACAAAUGGUGGAGCGGUGAAAUGCGUAGAUAUCAUUUGGAACGCCAACGGUGAAAACAGCUCGCUGGGGGUGUGCUGACGCUGAGACACGAAAGCCAGGGGAGCGAACGGG
This 253-nucleotide ribosomal RNA is filed under the name uncultured bacterium. RNAcentral's name for it is "partial 16S ribosomal RNA". It matches the Rfam family "Bacterial small subunit ribosomal RNA", at positions 524 to 776 of the family's 1533-position model. The record is from RNAcentral.